This 340-nucleotide ribosomal RNA is filed under the name uncultured bacterium. RNAcentral describes it as "partial 16S ribosomal RNA". It matches the Rfam family "Bacterial small subunit ribosomal RNA", at positions 338 to 676 of the family's 1533-position model. The record is from RNAcentral.
CCUACGGGGCGCAGCAGUGAGGAAUAUUGGUCAAUGGUCGGGAGACUGAACCAGCCAAGCCGCGUGAGGGAUGAAGGUACAGAGUAUCGUAAACCUCUUUUGUCAGGGAACAAAGGCGGGGACGUGUCCCCGGAUGAGUGUACCUGAAGAAAAAGCAUCGGCUAACUCUGUGCCAGCAGCCGUGGUACUACGGAGGAUGCGAGGGUUAUCCGGAUUUAUUGGGUUUAAGGGGGGCGCAGGCGUUUUGUUAAGUCAGCGGUAACAGCCCGGGGCUCAACCCCGGCCCGCCGUUGAAACUGGCAGUCUCGAGUUGGAGGGAGGUAUGCGGAAUGCGCGGUGU